GUGGUCCUUGACCCACAUUUCAUCCAUUUUUAUAUCUAUGUCUGUAUCUGUUUCAAAGCCACCUACCUCCUCAGGCUGCAGAUGUGGCUCAUGGAGAGCACUUGCCUGGCAUACACACAGGCCAUGGUUUUGACUCAGGAGGCUGAGGUAGGAGGAUCGAGAGUUUGAGGCCAGCCUCAGCAAUUUAGUGAGGCCCUGUCUCAAAGUAAGAUAAAAAAGGCUGAGGAUGGAGCUCAGGGUUAGUGUGCUUACCUAGCAUGCCUGAGGCUCUGAGUGGAUCCCCGGCAUUGAGAAACAAACUCAGAGCCUUCCUGAAAAAUCCUGCUAUUUUCCUACCAGGCCUUGGUUCAUUUAUUCAUUCGAUAAAUCAAUUUAAAAGUAUUUAAGUGCUUGCUUUUCCCAGUCUUGCUGCUGGCUCAGGUGUUGGAAAUCCCAGAAGGAGUUUAUUAAAGGGAUUGAUUAGGAAAGCCAGCCCUGGGGCAGCUCCUCAGCUCUGUAUUCAGGUUCUGUAUUUGGCUUUCCAUUAAUACCCUCUGGGACUUAUGUCACUGAAGAGAUUUCAAGUUCCUUCUCCCCACGGUGCUCUCCCUCCUCCUCUGCCGGAUCCACCUGAAGAGUGACUGUCCUUGUGGUCUGUCCCCAAGGCCAAAGGAGUCUGGAGAGCUGCUGACCUUCAAGGUCACGUCCUGCUUUAGAGCUCUGCUGAAGGAGGACUCCUGAGCCACAGCUGCCGUGGGCACGGGGUCCUGGAGUGGUAGCUCAGGGGCCAUCUAAUCACCUCACCUGGCUGGGCUGAGUUCUGCAGGCACACGGCUGCUUUGCUCUGGCCCCUCCUCAAAAGACCUCCACCAAGUCAGUGGAGGACACCUAUAAUCCCGUCGGCUUGGGAGGCUGAGGCAGGAGGAUCACAAGUUCAAAGCCAGCCUCAGCAACUUAGCAAAGCCCCAGCAACUCAUUGAGACCCCCUUUCAAAAUAAAAAACAAAGAGGGUUGGGGAUGUGCCUCAGUGGUUAAGUGUCCUUCGGUUCAAUCCCUGGUGCUAAAAACAAAAAACAAAACAAAAGUCCUCCUCCAAGAAUCAAAUGAGGGCCUAACCUUGUGCUAGGCAGCAUCUUUUUGGGAGAGAGGGGUAUGUGACAACUUCACUUCCAGACCCAAAUUGAAAGUUCAAGAUCAGAACUUCAUUGUCCAGAAAGCAAGGUGCAGAAUGGACACAAAUAAUACAAAGUGGACAGAGAUCCAGGGGGUAGGACUCCUCAAGCUUCGGCCAGC
This 1272-nucleotide long non-coding RNA is filed under the name Marmota monax (woodchuck). Lineage: Eukaryota; Metazoa; Chordata; Mammalia; Rodentia; Sciuridae. The record is from RNAcentral.